This is a non-coding RNA of Peromyscus maniculatus bairdii (prairie deer mouse), 1490 nucleotides long. Lineage: Eukaryota; Metazoa; Chordata; Mammalia; Rodentia; Cricetidae. The record is from RefSeq and is a predicted model, not a curated record.
CAGCCAGCCUCACAUGAGCCUUGAUAGGACCGAAGUUCCAAAGAGUGCAAAGACAGCACGCUGAAGAGGAGCGGCUCAGGAGCCAAGCGAUGGAGCGCCCGAGGAGCUGCUCAGAUCGCUGCCCACUGUGGUGCACGACGCAUCGGGCAGACAGCUGCACCCUUGACGGUCCUCGGUGUUCAUCUGAGGACGUCAAGACCCUGGCAGCCCACGCUUACUGCAGCUUUGGCCAGAGCCAGGAGCCUCACAAGCUCUGAGCGCGUGAACAACAGCGUUUACACGUGAGAAGACCGAGGUACACAGGAAGCAGCUUGCUAACGGUCACAUAGCUGAAUGGGAUGAAAACUGAACCGUCGUUUGAUUCCAGUGUCCUCUUCCAGCGUUCCUGUGAUAAGAGUGAGCAUCUCUUGGAAAUUUGCUGCUCAUGAGCAUCUGAUGCCUAUUUCCCAGAGCAGCCGUCUCCUGUCCGUGGACAUCCCUGGGAAGCAGUCCACUGGUCUGAGCAAAGUUUGCAUAAACUCCUUCUGAGACUUGGCUAAUCACCUACAGCUUCCCCACCCAGACAACUCAGCAUGAUCAUCUAUGACGUCACUUUAGUGCCUGGCACAACCAUCUUCCAUGUACUGCUCAGACUCAGCAGCACCAGAUGUUUACACAUCAUGGGCCAACACCACUGCUGCCUUCCACACUCAGCCAGUGUCUGGGAAACCCGGAAAAAUCCACCCCCUUAGGAGCUGCUGUGAUUCUUGAGUUUUGUUUACUACGGACACUGACUCUUGCCUUCAGAUCUCAUGGAGAGCAUACUCCAGAGCACAGCGACAUGUCUGAUGUGGUGUGCACAGCUGACAAAUGUCCCCCGUGUACCGACAAGGUGGGUUGGGAGACCAUAACCCAGAAGUAGAGCUCUGGGGCUGCUCCCAGACCUCCUUGCCUCACACUUGACUUCUGACUUGGAAACCAGAGGCCUUCAACCUAAAGCUUAGAUUGACUUGAAGAAACUUUGGGCUUCUAGUUUGGUUGUCAUGAAAUGAGAUACAAUUUUAAAAUACACCAGGGUUGGGGGAUGGCCCAGUGGACAAGAGGACUUCAGUCUGGAUCUCCCAGCACCCACAUAAAAAGCCCUGCACAGUCUCAUGUGCCUGUAACCCAAGGGCCUGUGGUGGGGGAGGUGUUCUGUGGCUUCUGGCUGCCAGCAGAACUCAACAACAGCAAGCCCCAGGUCCAGUGAGAGAGCCAGUCGUAAAAGAACAGUGAGAAAACAGAGGGCACUUGAUGUCCUUCUCUGCCCUCCACAGGGCCAUGCAUGGAGGUGCUCACCCGCGCGCACACACACACACACACACACACACACACACACACACACAUGAUGUAUAUGUGUGUAUACAUAUAUGUACGCAUGUAUAUGUAUACAUAUGCUUACAAAUAUUGCAUGUGUAAGAAGCAAAGUUUAUUGGAAGGCAAAAUAAAUCUUAAUUAAAAAGCCAAAACUA